This 833-nucleotide long non-coding RNA is filed under the name Homo sapiens (human). RNAcentral's name for it is "HSALNT0391204". The record is from RNAcentral. Lineage: Eukaryota; Metazoa; Chordata; Mammalia; Primates; Hominidae.
CUUACAUUAUGAGUCUUCGGUUCAAGAACCAGUAUUUCCUCCGACUUCUAUCAUAUCCAAUAGGUUCAUGUCGAAUAUAUGGUUUAUUUUUUUGGAUUUCAGCAACACAGUCAGUCACACCAGGCACCUUGUGUGCUACACAGACUUCACACUGCCACUCGUCCUCUGGCACCUCCUCAAGAGGUGGCUUCACACAUUCCAAAUGGUAUACUGCUGAACAUGUCUCACAGCAAAGCAAAUCCCCAAGUUUGUGACAAACCCUACAAUGGUCAUCAUACUGUAUCACCCCUUCAGACAUCAAUUCCUCUCGAGCAAUAUUUGUUGUAAGAAACUGAUCGACUAGAAACUGUAGAACUUUGAUCUUGUUCUCUACUGGUCCAUAUGGGUAGUCCUCUGCCUCUUGGUAAGGAAGAACGUGAUGGUACUCCUUAUCACUCUCACAGUACACCCGCAGCACCUCUGGCCACGUCAUCCCAUCUAUGAAAUACAGUGUGGAAUUAACGCUAUCUUUCAGAUCAGCAGGUCCAAAGGUAGUAUUGGAAGUGUCUUCUUCACGCAGAACUGCUUUCAAAAGCACAACAUGCAUCUCUGCCAUGAGUGUGCACUGCUCUUGGCUCACCAGAGCUGCACAAAAGUCCUCAAAGCGAAAAGGAGAUAAUCUCAAAACAGUGCCAAAGUUCCGCAGUACCUCGUAAAUGGCAAUGACAUUCAUUAUAUGCUCAUUAGGCACCAUUAAAUCCUCAGAGGACUUGGGAAAUUCAAGGGGCGGGAUGUCUUUUUCUUCCAAUAUAGGAGAACGAGGCCGAUGUACUCUUGGUUUUCGCCUACCUGUA